RNAcentral lists this ribosomal RNA (455 nucleotides) under Odontotermes lacustris. Its description in RNAcentral is "partial 16S ribosomal RNA". It matches the Rfam family "Bacterial large subunit ribosomal RNA", at positions 1851 to 2597 of the family's 2925-position model. The record is from RNAcentral. Lineage: Eukaryota; Metazoa; Arthropoda; Insecta; Blattodea; Termitidae.
AGUAUGGCCUGCCCGCUGAUUGAAGGGCCGCGGUAUUUUGACCGUGCAAAGGUAGCAUAGUCAUUAGUUCUUUAAUUGUGAUCUGGUAUGAAUGGCUUGACGAGACAUGGGCUGUCUUUUUGAAUUUGUAUUUUGAGUUAAAAUUCUUAGAUGUUUUUAUGGGACGAGAAGACCCUAUAGAGUUUGACAUUUGGUUUUUUGUUUGUUUUAAAUUUUUGCGUUUGUUUUGUUGGGGUGAUGGGAAGAAUUUUUUAACUCUUCUUUAUUGGUAUAUUGAUUUAUAUUUAUUUUGAUCCAUUUAUUUUGAUUAUAAGAUUAAAUUACCUUAGGGAUAACAGCGUUAUCUUCCCUGAGAGUUCUUAUUGGCGGGGGGGUUUGCGACCUCGAUGUUGGAUUAAGGUUAAUUUUUGGUGUAGGAGCUGAAUUGAUUAGGUCUGUUCGACCUUUAAAAUCUU